RNAcentral lists this long non-coding RNA (1611 nucleotides) under Paramuricea clavata. Lineage: Eukaryota; Metazoa; Cnidaria; Anthozoa; Malacalcyonacea; Plexauridae. The record is from RNAcentral.
CCCUCAUGAAAUGAAGUUUUUACUUAUUUACUUACUUUCUUACUUACUUAUAUACUUACUUAUAUUAAAUGUUCAUGAUAUAGAGUCCGGUUUAAGGUUCAUUAAUAGGUUUCCCUCAUGAAAUGAAGUUCUUACUUACUUACUUACUUUCUUACUUACUUACUUAUAUACUUAUACUUACUUAUAUUAAAUGUUCAUGAUAUAGAGUCCGGUUUAAGGUUCAUUAAUAUGUUUCCCUCAUGAAAUGAAGUUCUUACUUACUUACUUUCUUACUUACUUACUUAUAUAUUUAUACUUACUUACUAUCAAAUGUUCAUGAUAUAGAGUCCGGUUUAAGGUUCAUUAAUAGGUUUCCCUCAUGAAAUGAAGUUCUUACUUACUUACUUUCUUACUUACUUACUUAUAUACUUAUACUUACUUAUAUUAAAUGUUCAUGAUAUAGAGUCCGGUUUAAGGUUCAUUAAUAGGUUUCCCUCAUGAAAUGAAGUUCUUACUUACUUACUUUCUUACUUACUUACUUAUAUACUUAUACUUACUUAUAUUAAAUGUUCAUGAUAUAGAGUCCGGUUUAAGGUUCAUUAAUAGGUUUCCCUCAUGAAAUGAAGUUCUUACUUACUUACUUUCUUACUUACUUACUUAUAUACUUAUACUUACUUAUAUUAAAUGUUCAUGAUAUAGAGUCCGGUUUAAGGUUCAUUAAUAGGUUUCCCUCAUGAAAUGAAGUUCUUACUUACUUACUUUCUUACUUACUUACUUAUAUACUUAUACUUACUUAUAUUAAAUGUUCAUGAUAUAGAGUCCGGUUUAAGGUUCAUUAAUAGGUUUCCCUCAUGAAAUGAAGUUCUUACUUACUUACUUUCUUACUUACUUACUUAUAUACUUAUACUUACUUAUAUUAAAUGUUCAUGAUAUAGAGUCCGGUUUAAGGUUCAUUAAUAGGUUUCCCUCAUGAAAUGAAGUUCUUACUUACUUACUUUCUUACUUACUUACUUAUAUACUUAUACUUACUUAUAUUAAAUGUUCAUGAUAUAGAGUCCGGUUUAAGGUUCAUUAAUAGGUUUCCCUCAUGAAAUGAAGUUCUUACUUACUUACUUUCUUACUUACUUACUUAUAUACUUAUACUUACUUAUAUUAAAUGUUCAUGAUAUAGAGUCCGGUUUAAGGUUCAUUAAUAGGUUUCCCUCAUGAAAUGAAGUUCUUACUUACUUACUUUCUUUCUUACUUACUUACUUAUAUACUUAUACUUACUUAUAUUAAAUGUUCAUGAUAUACAGUCCGGUUUAAGGUUCUUCAUAUACAGUACAGUUCGUUACAAUUACAGUGCGGUCAUUGAUUAUAGAUGGUGAUGCAUUUAUAUAAAGUGGAUGCAUGCGAGCUUGUGUUACACAAACAAGGUUUGGUAUAAGCCUUGAGUUAAAUAGAUUACACACGAUUUUGUAGUGUUUUACCCAUUGACCUUGUCAGUGUUUGGUGGCAAAGACAAAGAUAAUGUAUCAGAUACUGUUCAAUAGGCAAUUCCAGCUAUGGAGUAAAUUAUCUAGGCAAGAAGAACAAAAUCCAUCACCACAGCUAGAAAGAGCAUGUCAAAAUUAGUAAAAUUUCAACGUUUGG